AGAGUUCUGCCCUGAGUUCCUGGUAAAGGCUCAGCAGUAUGGUUAACAUCCUAUCGUCUCUCAUUUGUUUUCCCUGGACAGAAAUGACCACACUGUGAACCCUACUUAUGCUUUUUUUUUUCUUCUGUAACCACAGAUCCCCAGACGAAAGCUCCCUGAGGGCAGAAGUUCAAGAUAUGAGCCUUCAGCUUUCUUCUCCUGCUAUCAUGCCUUUUGCUUAAUUAUCAUGGACACACAUCCUCUGGAACUGGAAGCCCUAAUAAACCCUCUCUUCUAUA
Molecule: long non-coding RNA, 278 nt
Organism: Mus musculus (house mouse)
Lineage: Eukaryota; Metazoa; Chordata; Mammalia; Rodentia; Muridae
Product: predicted gene, 41486
Exons: 2
Source: RefSeq, marked validated